Molecule: transfer RNA, 82 nt
Organism: Lottia gigantea (owl limpet)
Lineage: Eukaryota; Metazoa; Mollusca; Gastropoda; Lottiidae
Rfam family: tRNA
About the family: Transfer RNA (tRNA) molecules are approximately 80 nucleotides in length. Their secondary structure includes four short double-helical elements and three loops (D, anti-codon, and T loops).
Source: Rfam
GCUGCGAUGGCCGAGUGGUUAAGGCGUUGGACUCGAAAUCCAAUGGGAUAAUCCCGCGCAGGUUCAAAUCCUGCUCGUAGUG